Molecule: ribosomal RNA, 402 nt
Filed under: uncultured bacterium
Lineage: Bacteria
Description: bacterial SSU rRNA
Rfam family: Bacterial small subunit ribosomal RNA
Source: RNAcentral
UGGGGAAUAUUGGACAAUGGGCGCAAGCCUGAUCCAGCCAUGCCGCGUGAGUGAUGAAGGCCUUAGGGUUGUAAAGCUCUUUCGCGCGCGACGAUAAUGACGGUAGCGCGAGAAGAAGCCCCGGCUAACUUCGUGCCAGCAGCCGCGGUAAUACGAAGGGGGCUAGCGUUGUUCGGAAUCACUGGGCGUAAAGCGCAUGCAGGCGGAUCGUUAAGUCGGGGGUGAAAUCCCGAGGCUCAACCUCGGAACUGCCUUCGAUACUGGCGAUCUUGAGUCCGGGAGAGGUGAGUGGAACUGCGAGUGUAGAGGUGAAAUUCGUAGAUAUUCGCAAGAACACCCGUGGCGAAGGCGGCUCACUGGCCCGGUACUGACGCUCAGGUGCGAAAGCGUGGGGAGCAAACA